Mustela lutreola (European mink) is the source of this 2482-nucleotide long non-coding RNA. RefSeq lists it as uncharacterized. The record is from RefSeq and is a predicted model, not a curated record. NCBI's taxonomy places the organism in Eukaryota, Metazoa, Chordata, Mammalia, Carnivora, Mustelidae. The transcript is spliced from 14 exons.
GGGGAAGAGAGGGGAAGGGGAGGGGGAGGGAGAGGGGGUGGGGAGCCGAGAGCAGAGGAGAAGGCAGAAGAGAGCGGAGCCGGCCGCGGAGCACCCACACUGGCGGCUGCCGGAGCGCGGGGCCUCAUGGUUGAUAUAGAAGACUGUCAAAUGGACCAGACAGAGAACUAAAACCGAAGAAAGGAUCUCAAUGAAGGCAUGCCACAGGGAUGCGAACUGAAAGUUUCAGAAACGGGACAAGAGCCAAAGUGCACAGGGACAGGUAGCCGUGGGGGAAAUACUGAAUUCCCUGUGGUGGUUAUUGGCACAGGAAACCCGUGAAGCACGUGGCCCCACGGCACCUUUCCAGACCUCUCCGUCCUUGGGUUCCCCCGGCACUUCCCACCUGGACCACAGCCAGAACCAGCUUCGGAUCGCAGGUUGGGUUAGCGUCGGCUGCUGCGUGUGAACCCGGAAGGGCUCCGUCUCGUGUGCUCACAGCACCGACCGUGAGUGUAGCCUCCCAGGCCUGGUCCAGCCCCGGCUUUAGACCCAGAAAGAAUUGAAAUUCACAGGAGACACUGACUCUCGGAUUCUUCCUUGGAUAUAACCAAGAGGUCCCCGGAUCUAAGAGGUGUCCCCAUCCCCGAGCCUCUCCUCUGAAAUACGCUUCGGUAUGUCCACGUCCCUUCUCGGUGACAUAGAUCCCAGGUAGCCGCUUCACGACUGAGGACAGAUGGCUGCAUCAGUGAUGUGCGGCGCACACCACACCGUUGCCUUGUGUCAAGCUUGGGGCUGAUCUCGGUCAAGCCUUUUCCACCAAGCCGCGUCUCCGCUGUGUGGUGCUGCUGCGCAUGGUUCUGUGGCGUUUCUUCCUGCUCAAGUUCACGGUGUUAGAAUUCGGCCCAUUGUCAAGCACUUUGUCAUCCGAAGGCAUCCACGCUGCCAUAUUCCUUCCAACUUCCUGCUGUCAGAAGCCUCGGAAAAGCACAAGAUGUACCUGAGUCUUCGUUUCUUCAACUAGUGGCAUCUUUUCCUCUUCCUCAAUGGCAGACACCCCUACCUUAUGGGGCUUUCGUGAAGGCAGGAUUGGACCAGAAGGCGUGCCAGGGCGAAGUGCCCAUCAUUCCAUGACGGGAUAGGAAUUGAGACACUUCGCUGAGGAAGAAAUACCUGAUUUCUGAAAACAGCCUAUAUCCCGAACAGUUUCCUGGAAAUGACACUGCUGGUUAAAUUUUAUAAAGCAUUCCAAGUGUUGAUCAGCAAGUUUUGAUGCUUCCAAGUGCCCAAAGAGGAAAUCCGGCAGCAGAGGUUCCUGGGGGGAUCCCAUCAGAUGCAGGAGCUCACCGGCUCCCCCAGUCAGGGACUUGAUGCUCUUGGCCUCGGCGCUCUUGACCCCAGACCAGCCUCUGUGAAGAGACAGAGCCCGUUUUGCGACCUGUCCUCACACACAGACAAUCGUGGUGCCUAUUGGACAUAGCGAGGCUGUAUUUUCUAGACUUGCUCUGUUUGCUGAAAACCCGAAGAAGCCAGGAAAUUGCUUCCUGUGCCUGAAGUGCACGAGCAAGGCUGGAAAACAGAGCCAAGACACAAACUGUGAAGCAACAGCUCAACCUCCGAGAGCGAGUGGGCUUCGCGCUAUUUCUGGCCAGAGCAGAUGUGGCCUCGGGGGGCUGUGGGGAACAGUAUCCCUCAGGUAAAAAUAAACUCGUACCAUUAGGACCCAAAGGAUGCCGAUUCCUCAUUCCCAAGCAGAUCGUGAACUGGGAGCCCUGUGGGAAGACGACUGGUUUGGGAAUCCGACAGGGUUCUGCCCUGGAUUUCUUCCAGAUUGCGCUACCAAUCGGCCAUCUGGUCUCGACAGCAGUGGUCUCCGGUGAUGCAGGAGUGGUCUCUGUUGAUGCAUGGUGCUGUGGGGACCAGCAGGGCAGCAUGUCAUCCAGUCUGGGGUGCAGGAAUGCUGCCUGGAGGAGCGGAUGCGCCCGAGCGGAGUCUCAGCGGUGGAGCAGAGGUCAUCCAGGUCUUCUGCCGUCAGUAACGAAUGAUUAAAAGGAUAUUUAGUAGGUCAUGCAAGGUGAAAGAGGACUGGCGAAAGGAGACGGUGCAAACCCAAGUGGAUGGAGAAGCUGGAGAGUGAGAAGACAUCUUCCAGGGGGAAACAAAGCUUUUCCUAACUUCCGUGGAUUUCUACAGAGCCUUGGCUUUUGGAAAUUCUACCAGAAUGACGGCUGCAUUUUUAGUGGUGAAAAUUACUGAUAAGUCUCAAAAGCAAUCAGAGAAUAUCCAUUUUCCAGAGGGUGGUCACAAAGCAUCACCCAGGCCAAGAAACGGAAAACGAGACUCUACCUCUCUUGGUUGGCAAGAGUGCGUGGAACUGGGAUACUGAGGGGGCCACUUUCGGAAAAGACAACCUGCUCCAAGAACUUCUCUCCUUUUCGAUGUCAUCAGCACCCCCAGCUGCAGAGAAAACAUGGAAGUUAGGCAGACGGUCUCCAUUGCCCAG